UACGGAGGAUGCAAGCGUUAUCCGGAAUGAUUGGGCGUAAAGCGUCCGCAGGGGGUUGUGUGUGUCUAUUGUCAAAGCAUCAUGCUUAACAUGAUAAAGGCAGUAGAAACUACACGACUAGAGUGCGUUCUGGGCAGAGAGAAUUCCUGGUGUAGCGGUGAAAUGCGUAGAGAUCAGGAAGAACACCGGUGGCGAAAGCGCUCUGCUAGGCCGCAACUGACACUUAGGGACGACAGCUAGGGGUUCUAAUGGG
RNAcentral lists this ribosomal RNA (253 nucleotides) under uncultured bacterium. Its description in RNAcentral is "partial 16S ribosomal RNA". It matches the Rfam family "Bacterial small subunit ribosomal RNA", at positions 524 to 776 of the family's 1533-position model. The record is from RNAcentral.